GUUUGCACUCAUCGGGGAAGGGUGAGAACCUUCGACUAAGGUUCGACUCGAGCGAAAGCGAGAGAACGUUGCCACAGGCAACGGCUCGAAGGGUGAGGAGCGAAGCGACGAAUAAUCCUUCCCCCACCACCA
This 132-nucleotide small RNA is filed under the name Escherichia coli. RNAcentral describes it as "RtT sRNA". It matches the Rfam family "RtT RNA". From Rfam's summary of the family: This family represents a bacterial cis-regulatory element known as RtT RNA. The exact function of RtT is unknown although it is thought that it may be involved in changing the cellular response in relation to amino acid starvation. Lineage: Bacteria; Pseudomonadati; Pseudomonadota; Gammaproteobacteria; Enterobacterales; Enterobacteriaceae. The record is from RNAcentral.